UACGUAGGGGGCGAGCGUUGUCCGGAAUUACUGGGCGUAAAGCGAGCGCAGGUGGUUUAAUAAGUCUGAUGUAAAAGGCAGUGGCUCAACCAGUGUGUGCAUUGGAAACUGUUAGACUUGAGUGCAGUAGAGGAGAGUGGAAUUCCAUGUGUAGCGGUGAAAUGCGUAGAUAUAUGGAGGAACACCGGUGGCGAAAGCGGCUCUCUGGACUGUAACUGACACUGAGGCUCGAAAGCGUGGGUAGCAAACAGG
Molecule: ribosomal RNA, 252 nt
Filed under: uncultured microorganism
Description: partial 16S ribosomal RNA
Rfam family: Bacterial small subunit ribosomal RNA
Source: RNAcentral